Molecule: transfer RNA, 69 nt
Filed under: Hylodes heyeri
Lineage: Eukaryota; Metazoa; Chordata; Amphibia; Anura; Hylodidae
Description: tRNA-Val
Rfam family: tRNA
About the family: Transfer RNA (tRNA) molecules are approximately 80 nucleotides in length.
Source: RNAcentral
CAAAAUAUAGCUUAGCUAAAGCAUUUCGCUUACACCGAAAAAACAUCUGUUAAACUCAGAUUAUUUUGA